This 74-nucleotide transfer RNA is filed under the name Candidatus Omnitrophota bacterium. Its description in RNAcentral is "Candidatus Omnitrophica bacterium tRNA-Gln". It matches the Rfam family "tRNA". From Rfam's summary of the family: Transfer RNA (tRNA) molecules are approximately 80 nucleotides in length. Their secondary structure includes four short double-helical elements and three loops (D, anti-codon, and T loops). Lineage: Bacteria; Pseudomonadati; Candidatus Omnitrophota. The record is from RNAcentral.
UGGGAUGUCGUCUAAUGGUAGGACACAAGAUUUUGGGUCUUGGUAUCCUGGUUCGAGUCCAGGCGUCCCAGCUA